AGUGAACGCUGGCGGUAGGCCUAACACAUGCAAGUCGAACGGCAGCACAGUAAGAGCUUGCUCUUACGGGUGGCGAGUGGCGGACGGGUGAGGAAUACAUCGGAAUCUACUUUUUCGUGGGGGAUAACGUAGGGAAACUUACGCUAAUACCGCAUACGACCUACGGGUGAAAGCAGGGGAUCCUCGGACCUUGCGCGACUGAAUGAGCCGAUGUCGGAUUAGCUAGUUGGCGGGGUAAAGGCCCACCAAGGCGACGAUCCGUAGCUGGUCUGAGAGGAUGAUCAGCCACACUGGAACUGAGACACGGUCCAGACUCCUACGGGAGGCAGCAGUGGGGAAUAUUGGACAAUGGGCGCAAGCCUGAUCCAGCCAUACCGCGUGGGUGAAGAAGGCCUUCGGGUUGUAAAGCCCUUUUGUUGGGAAAGAAAAGCAGCAGGUUAAUACCCCGCUGUUCUGACGGUACCCAAAGAAUAAGCACCGGCUAACUUCGUG
RNAcentral lists this ribosomal RNA (492 nucleotides) under uncultured bacterium. Its description in RNAcentral is "partial 16S ribosomal RNA". It matches the Rfam family "Bacterial small subunit ribosomal RNA", at positions 29 to 507 of the family's 1533-position model. The record is from RNAcentral.